CCUACGGGAGGCAGCAGUGGGGAAUUUUGCGCAAUGGGGGCAACCCUGACGCAGCAACGCCGCGUGAGUGAUGAAGGCCUUCGGGUCGUAAAGCUCUGUCAGAGGGGAAGAAAUGCAGGUGGUGAACAACCAUUCUGUUUGACGGUGCCCUCAAAGGAAGCACCGGCUAACUCCGUGCCAGCAGCCGCGGUAAUACGGAGGGUGCGAGCGUUGUUCGGAAUUAUUGGGCGUAAAGCGCGUGUAGGCGGUUUGUUAAGUCUGAGGUAAAAGCCCCGGGCUAAACCGGGGAAGUGCAUUGGAUACUGGCAGACUUGAGUACGGGAGAGGAGAGUGGAAUUCCCAGUGUAGGAGUAAAAUACGUAGAUAUUGGGAGGAAAAACGUUGGCGAGGGCGGCUCUCGGGACCGAUACUGACGCUG
Molecule: ribosomal RNA, 418 nt
Filed under: uncultured Desulfuromonadaceae bacterium
Lineage: Bacteria; Pseudomonadati; Thermodesulfobacteriota; Desulfuromonadia; Desulfuromonadales; Desulfuromonadaceae
Description: partial 16S ribosomal RNA
Rfam family: Bacterial small subunit ribosomal RNA
Source: RNAcentral